This 385-nucleotide ribosomal RNA is filed under the name Beauveria bassiana. Its description in RNAcentral is "eukaryotic large subunit ribosomal RNA". It matches the Rfam family "Eukaryotic large subunit ribosomal RNA", at positions 3005 to 3399 of the family's 3401-position model. The record is from RNAcentral. Lineage: Eukaryota; Fungi; Ascomycota; Sordariomycetes; Hypocreales; Cordycipitaceae.
ACCUCACCGCAAUGGUAAUUCAGCUUAGUACGAGAGGAACCGCUGAUUCAGAUAAUUGGUUUUUGCGGCUGUCCGACCGGGCAGUGCCGCGACGCUACCAUCUGCUGGAUAAUGGCUGAACGCCUCUAAGUCAGAAUCCAUGCCAGAACGCGGUGAUACCACCCGCACGUAUAGAUGGACAAGAAUAGGCUUCGGCUUUGCGUCUCAGCAGGCGAUUCGUCCACGGCCACGGAAGAGUGGUUUUGGUAUUUCGCGUAUUGUAAUUUCAACACGAGCGGGGUUAAAUCCUUUGCAGACGACUUAGCUGUGCGAAACGGUCCUGUAAGCAGUAGAGUAGCCUUGUUGUUACGAUCUGCUGAGGGUAAGCCGUCCUUCGCCCCGAUUU